AUGCCCCAAAAUGACCCAAAAUCGCCAUUUUUCCCCCCAAAUCCUGUAGGUUCGCCAAGCUGCUGCUCCGCCUUCCGGCCCUUCGCUCCAUCGGCCUCAAGUGCCUGGAACAUUUGUUCUUCUUCAAGCUCAUCGGGGACACCCCCAUCGACACCUUCCUCAUGGAGAUGCUCGAGGCCCCGCACCAGCUGGCCUGACCCCAUAGAAAACCCUAUAAACCCUAUAACCCCAUAUCGACCCUAUAAGCCCGAUAUUGACCCUAUAACCCCAAUAUGGACCCUAUAUCCUAUAUAUAUAUGGACGCAUAUCAGGGACACCCCCAUCGACACCNNNNNNNNNNNNNNNNNNNNNNNNNNNNNNNNNNNNNNNNNNNCCCAUAGAAAACCCUAUAAACCCUAUAACCCUAUAAACCCUAUAAACCCGAUAUGGAACCCAAAAACCCCAAUAUUGACCCCAAAAUCCCUAUUUCGGGGCAUGGAAAUGGGCCUCAGGACACAAAAAUGGACUGAAAUGAUGGGAUUCCAUCCCAUAAUACGACCCUAUAAACCCUAUAAUCCCAAUAUUGACCCUAUAAGCCCUAUAUGGACCCUAUAAACCCUAUAUGGACCCUAUAAACCUGAUAUGGAACCCAAAAAUCCCAAUAUUGACCCCAUAAUGCCUGGAAAACAACGGACUCAAACGUGGACUGAACUGGUGGGAUUCCAUCCCAUAAUACGACCCUAUAAACCCUAUAAUCCCAAUAUGGACCCUAUAAGACCCUAUAAACCCUAUAACCCCAAUAUGGACCCUAUAACCCCAAUAUGGACCCUAUAACCCCAAUAUGGACCCUAUAUCCUAUAUAUAUAUGGACGCAUAUCAGGGACACCCCCAUCGACACCUUCCUCAUGGAGAUGCUCGAGGCCCCGCACCAGCUGGCCUGACCCCAUAGAAAACCCUAUAAACCCUAUAACCCUAUAACCCCUAUAUGGACCCUAUAAGCCCUAUAUGGACCCUAUAAACCCGAUAUGGACCCUAUAAACCCGAUAUGGACCCUAUAAACCUGAUAUGGACCCCAUAAUCCCUGGAAAACAACGGACUCAAACGUGGACUGAAAUGAUGGGAUUCCAUCCCAUAAUACGACCCCAUAAACCCUAUAAACCCUAUAACCCCAAUAUGGACCCUAUAAACCUGAUAUGGACCCUAUAAUCCCAAUAUGGACCCUAUAAUCCCAAUAUGGACCCUAUAAUCCCAAUAUUGACCCCAUAAUCCCAAUAUUGACCCUAUAAUCCCAAUAUGGACCCUAUAAUCCCAAUAUGGACCCUAUAAACCCAAUAUGGACCCUAUAAUCCCAAUAUUGACCCUAUAAUCCCAAUAUUGACCCUAUAAUCCCAGUGCUGACCCUAUAAACCCCAUAGGAUAUAAUGGGGUCCCCAUUAAUACCCUAUAAACCCCAUAGGAUAUAAUGGGGUCCCCAUUAAUACC
Molecule: long non-coding RNA, 1461 nt
Filed under: Coturnix japonica (Japanese quail)
Lineage: Eukaryota; Metazoa; Chordata; Aves; Galliformes; Phasianidae
Description: lncRNA (ENSCJPG00005000264.1)
Source: RNAcentral